AGAGUUUGAUCCUGGCUCAGGAUGAACGCCGGCGGUGUGCCUAAUACAUGCAAGUCGUACGCACUGGCCCAACUGAUUGAUGGUGCUUGCACCUGAUUGACGUUGGAUCACCAGUGAGUGGCGGACGGGUGAGUAACACGUAGGUAACCUGCCCCGGAGCGGGGGAUAACAUUUGGAAACAGAUGCUAAUACCGCAUAACAACAAAAGCCACAUGGCUUUUGUUUGAAAGAUAGCUUUGGCUAUCACUCUGGGAUGGACCUGCGGUGCAUUAGCUAGUUGGUAAGGUAACGGCUUACCAAGGCGAUGAUGCAUAGCCGAGUUGAGAGACUGAUCGGCCACAAUGGAACUGAGACACGGUCCAUACUCCUACGGGAGGCAGCAGUAGGGAAUCUUCCACAAUGGGCGCAAGCCUGAUGGAGCAACACCGCGUGAGUGAAGAAGGGUUUCGGCUCGUAAAGCUCUGUUGUUGGAGAAGAACGUGCGUGAGAGUAACUGUUCACGCAGUGACGGUAUCCAACCAGAAAGUCACGGCUAACUACGUGCCAGCAGCCGCGGUAAUACGUAGGUGGCAAGCGUUAUCCGGAUUUAUUGGGCGUAAAGCGAGCGCAGGCGGUUGCUUAGGUCUGAUGUGAAAGCCUUCGGCUUAACCGAAGAAGUGCAUCGGAAACCGGGCGACUUGAGUGCAGAAGAGGACAGUGGAACUCCAUGUGUAGCGGUGGAAUGCGUAGAUAUAUGGAAGAACACCAGUGGCGAAGGCGGCUGUCUGGUCUGCAACUGACGCUGAGGCUCGAAAGCAUGGGUAGCGAACAGGAUUAGAUACCCUGGUAGUCCAUGCCGUAAACGAUGAGUGCUAGGUGUUGGAGGGUUUCCGCCCUUCAGUGCCGGAGCUAACGCAUUAAGCACUCCGCCUGGGGAGUACGACCGCAAGGUUGAAACUCAAAGGAAUUGACGGGGGCCCGCACAAGCGGUGGAGCAUGUGGUUUAAUUCGAAGCUACGCGAAGAACCUUACCAGGUCUUGACAUCUUGCGCUAACCUUAGAGAUAAGGCGUUCCCUUCGGGGACGCAAUGACAGGUGGUGCAUGGUCGUCGUCAGCUCGUGUCGUGAGAUGUUGGGUUAAGUCCCGCAACGAGCGCAACCCUUGUUACUAGUUGCCAGCAUUAAGUUGGGCACUCUAGUGAGACUGCCGGUGACAAACCGGAGGAAGGUGGGGACGACGUCAGAUCAUCAUGCCCCUUAUGACCUGGGCUACACACGUGCUACAAUGGACGGUACAACGAGUCGCAAGCUCGCGAGAGUAAGCUAAUCUCUUAAAGCCGUUCUCAGUUCGGACUGUAGGCUGCAACUCGCCUACACGAAGUCGGAAUCGCUAGUAAUCGCGGAUCAGCAUGCCGCGGUGAAUACGUUCCCGGGCCUUGUACUCACCGCCCGUCA
Molecule: ribosomal RNA, 1434 nt
Filed under: uncultured bacterium
Lineage: Bacteria
Description: bacterial SSU rRNA
Rfam family: Bacterial small subunit ribosomal RNA
Source: RNAcentral